GUUCUGCAGAGACGUUGCUUGCUACUGGGAGCGCACCAUAAGGCUGAGGCGUGCUUUUGAGAAGGUCGCAGUAAAAACCGGUGAAAACUAAGGGACAGUGCCUAACCUGAUAUUGUUUUAAGAAUAAAUAACAUCAGACGGAAUGGAGCUGUGAGGGGCCCCAAAGGAGAGGACAGAGAUCCUGAAUCUGCUAAAAGGUGCGAAGCCAGAAAGAUUUAAGCGGCUAUUAGGACAAGAAUAAAAACACAUGAAGAAGGAAGGCACAUGGAAAGAGAAAAGAAAGAAAAAGACCCUGGAGCAGACACCAUGCAUAUAAACGCGGAAUAAAAGGAUGGUUUCUGCUAGAUUCAUUUUUAUUUCACGUCCCCAAAGAGACUGACUAUGGAUUUUAAUGUUGACAUGGACAAAAAAAAGAUGGAUGCUCAAAGGCUACAUAUUUAUAUCUUAUGUAUGAGAUACAUAUCUUAUGUAUGACAUACAGAAUACCUUACAGCUUAAAUUUUUGAAGAUAGACUUCCUCU
RNAcentral lists this long non-coding RNA (521 nucleotides) under Struthio camelus australis. RNAcentral's name for it is "lncRNA (ENSSCUG00000018266.1)". Lineage: Eukaryota; Metazoa; Chordata; Aves; Struthioniformes; Struthionidae. The record is from RNAcentral.